UUAUAACUGGAGAGUUUGAUCCUGGCUCAGAAUGAACGCUGGCGGCGUGCUUAACACAUGCAAGUCGAACGAGAAAGGGAUUGCUUGCAAUCCUGA
RNAcentral lists this ribosomal RNA (96 nucleotides) under Desulfobacter postgatei. RNAcentral describes it as "partial 16S ribosomal RNA". It matches the Rfam family "Bacterial small subunit ribosomal RNA", at positions 1 to 91 of the family's 1533-position model. The record is from RNAcentral. Lineage: Bacteria; Pseudomonadati; Thermodesulfobacteriota; Desulfobacteria; Desulfobacterales; Desulfobacteraceae.